CUCAAAAGGUUUAACCUAGAGCAGAGGUCAGCAAACUGCAGCCUUUGAACCAAAUCCGGCCCAGAAGUGAAAAUAUUUUUAGAUGAACAUUGGCAAUGGAUUUGAUGAUAAAGAACACUAACUUUAAAUUCCAACUAAGCAGAAUGUUAUCACCUCCAAAAAUGAUUCCAUUCUUCUCAUUAUUAAACCUAUGCUACAAAAAAACCUGCCUUCGAUUAUUAUUAUUACAUUUUGAGUUUCAUCAAUUAAAUAAUUGUGGAAAUUUUUAUUUUACUCUAUAAGUACCUACAUAAUAUUCCAAAUUUGCUUCUUGGCCUGUAAAGCCUAAGAUAUUUGUGAUAUGGCCCUUUACUGAAAAAGUUUGCUGACCCCUGGCCACAAGAAUAAAGUUUAGAAUGGGAUGUGAUAUGUUUCAUCUUGCCUUACACCCCAGGAGUGGGAGAAAACCAAAUUGGCAGCAGAGUGGGCAGAGAUGACAUCCAUAUAUAAAUGGACUGUGGAACACCUUGUUAUGAAGGAAGGCCUGUCAGCAGUCAAAGAAUGGCUUGGUUCUCUUUUGCAAGUCUUCGUAUCACCAGAAUCAGUGCUUUUAGCAUUCGAGAAAGGCAUUUUCGUUUCUUCCUUUCUGCACCUGCACCUUUUUUCAGGGACUUCAGAAACGCCUUCACGAGUCAGCAAUGACUUGAAGAUCCGGCCAAUGGCUAAGAUGUUAAUAACCAUGCUGCCACAAGAUGGCGCCCACCACCCAAUAUCUCGGACUUCCUGAUCAAACAGGUAGGUACUAAUUUUUGUGUGGCAACGUACAGUAUAAAAUUGUAUUAUUUUAUUUUAUUUUGUCAUUUUAUUUUAUUUUAUUUUAUAUUUUAAACAGGGUGUCGCUCUUUCACCCGGGCUGGAGUGCAGUGGUGCAGUCACGACUCACUGCAGCCUCAAACUUCUUAGCUCAAGUGACCUUCCUGCCUCAGCUUCCCAAAUAGCUGAGACUACUGGCACACGCCACCAUGCCCAGCUAAGUUUUUAUUUUUUGUAGAGACGGGGUCUUGCUAUGUUGCCCAGGCUGAUCUCAAACUCCUGGGCUCAAGCGAUUCUCCUGCCUCAGCCUCCCAAAGUGCUGGGAUUAAGUUUAUGAAAUGUGCAUAUGUCUAAAAGGUUUGCUUCAGGUUUUUUGUUUGUUUUUUGGUUUUUUUUUUUGAGACAGAGUGUGCAGUGGCGCAAUCUCGGCUCACCGCAAGCUCCGCCUCCCGGGUUUACGCCAUUCUCCUGCCCCAGCCUCCCGAGUAGCUGGGGACUACAGGCGCCUGCCACCGUGGCCGGCUAAUUUUCUUUUUUUUUUUUUUUUUUGUAUUUUUAGUAGGGACGGGUUUCACCGUGCUCUGGAUUUCCUGACCUCGUGAUCCGCCCGCCUUGGCCCCCUCAAAGUGCUGGGAUUACAGGCGUGUGCCACGGCGCCCGGCAGGCUUUUGAGCAUCUUCAGGUAAGGAAAUCCAAGUUUCUAAAUAAAAACAACUUUGAUGCAUAGUUUGCCCUAUAGGCACCAAAGUGCUUAAGAUGUAAGAAAAGGAAACACCAUGAAACGAUCUUUUGCUCGUCCCAUUUUGGGACAGAGGAUUUUAACUAUGUUCUAUGCUAGGGAGGGAUCAAUUUUAUAAUUGAUGAAUCGUAUAAAAUCAAGCUCAGGAUUCCCAAUGUAUCUUCUAAAUCUACUUACUGAGUUAAAUUUUGAAAACAAAACAAAUACAAUUAUGCAAGAAAUAUACCCAGGUGAAAAAUGUUCAAAUAGUUAAACAUAUGUCUGAUGUAUCUGCUGUGACUUAGUCCACCCACUGAAAUGUGCAGAGAUGUUUGUUUUUUAUGACUCCAUGCUGUGUCUGUCUCUGAGCUUUCAUCCUGCCUGACUCUCCA
Macaca mulatta (Rhesus monkey) is the source of this 1902-nucleotide long non-coding RNA. Lineage: Eukaryota; Metazoa; Chordata; Mammalia; Primates; Cercopithecidae. The record is from Ensembl.